RNAcentral lists this long non-coding RNA (8342 nucleotides) under Heterocephalus glaber (naked mole-rat). Its description in RNAcentral is "lncRNA (ENSHGLG00000036888.1)". Lineage: Eukaryota; Metazoa; Chordata; Mammalia; Rodentia; Bathyergidae. The record is from RNAcentral.
UGGAUUCAGACACCACAAACACAUCCAAGUGUCUUCCAUGAGCCAGCCUUUAUGUAAGGUUGGCAUACAGUCUUUUAGUUAGCAUUUCAAGUUGCAAAAAGCCUGUGAGAAAGAUCAUUUGCUUCAUCACUGCUGAAUUUCUCCUUUCAAGUGGGUGUUGAUACUCUCACUGGAUUUUCUUAUCUCUGCCCAUUGCUCAUUACACUCUGAGGGAUCUGGCUCAACUUGAGUGAGUUAACAACUGCAGAUCUUGUCCUUUGACAGCAGCUAGAAGACCUCAGUCUCCCAACUCUUGAGUACACAGUGUUCUCUGCAAAAUUUGAACACCAGUCAUUAGAGAAGAGACUCAAAGGCUUUUCUGUUUUGAAAGUAUCUAAUUGUUUCAGAGAGUUAUGAAUCUCCCAAUCUCUCUGUAUUUGAACUUCCUCCUCAUGACAUGAAAGGAUAUAGACUUUUCCAGGACACAUACAGCCCCACACGAUCAGUGGCUCCAUUAUCCACUCAUGAGUAAGGGCUGAAGGUCCCUUAGGUUUUGAACCAGUUGCUGUCUAUUAUACUUGAUGACCUAUACAAGUGUCAAGUCAAUAAAGCUACAUAAAGUCUGACAGAAAUUUACAGACUUAUUUUGAAAUAAUUAUUUGUGCACUGCUGGAAAAUCUCUCCUUUCCCUGAGGGGAAUAAGAGGUUUCCUCUUUAAGAAAAAGCGUCCAAUAGAAGAUGUAAUGAAAUUGGAAUGGAUUUCAAAUCAAUGACCUUCUUAGGCUGAAUCCAUUAUUUCUCUAAAGGUAAAGCUUAAGAUUACAUACUUUCUCACAAUAAUGUGCUUAACGACAACCUUUCAGGAGAAAAAGACUGACAGCAGUUAUUUUAUACGAAGGUAUGCAGCUUAUAAACAGGCUGUGCAAUGACCAGGCAGAAAGAUGUUUAAAGGUACAAGAAUUUCAGAUGAAGAUGAAAUGAGACUAUCAUUUGCUACAAAUUCAACUGUCUUUUAAAUGCCUCCUUUGUUAUGGAGAAAAUGACUACUUAAAAAGAUUUCACAGAAAGACUUAAAUCACACUCGUAGUAAUCAUUUGGUCUGCCACAACCCAAAUGCCUCAUUAGCAAUGUAAUUGCUCACACAGAAAAUACAGCAAGAGGUUGUCCCCUUUUCCAUGGGGGGAAGAAAGAAAAGGAAGGAAGGAAGGAAGGAAAGAAGAAAGGGGGGAAGGAAGAGAGACAGAGAGAAAGAAAGAGAAAGGAAAGAAAAAGAAAGAAAGCGAAAGAAAGAAAGAAAGAAAGAAAGAAAGAAAGAAAGAAAGAAAGAAAGGAAGGAAGGAAGGAAAAGAAAAAGCAAACAUCAACUAUGCUUAUAUAAACAAAGAAUAUUUUAGUGGAAUGAAUGUAAGCUUUCUCCUGAAGGAAUCCCAUUUAGAAUGUCAUCAGAAAUGGCAACACUUUCAACAUCAUAGCAGUAAUGUAUUCCAACUUUAUUAGCACUGAGGCACAAAGUCAAAUUUGGCAGGAGAAAAGGUAAACAAACAUUACUGACAUUGCAACAGACUAAGUGAUCUUGUAAGCCUCACUGUUAAGAGAGAAAAUUAAAAUAGAUAAUAUCUUUGUUAUAACUACAAUAAUUUCUAGGACUGCUGCCUAGGAUAAAAAUAUUCUUCGUUCUCCCAUUUUAAAUUUCUAUAUAAAGACACUAUUAAGUUGCAGUAACAUGUAUUUUUAUAUUUCAAUAAGUCCCUCAUAAUAAAUUUGACCUCCAUUUCAAAGUUGAUUAGGAAGUAGUAAAUUGAAACCUUUAGGUUUUCUGUCCUUUUUAAAGCAAAUAUGCACCAUAAGCAUUUUCUUGUAAUGACAGCCUUGAAGUGCUGUCAAUCAAUGGCAAGUGCUUAAGGGAGAAACCCCAUUAAUAAAUUGGACCUUCCUGUCACACAAGCAGCUGCUCAUUCACACAAAUGCAUGUCUAUCUUCUUCCUCAACUCCUUGCUUCAGUUCCACUUUUUGAAUUGAGCCAGAUUUACCUACCAGUGAAGCAAACAACAAGCUUUAAUUAUGCAUGCUGAUUGUAAUUCAACUUAAUCCUUCAAUAACUGAAUAUCAUGGAUAAGUCUUUCAUGUUCUUCAUUUUGUUUACUCUUUCAUAUAGGUCCUUGCAUUUGAUAAAUUUUAACAAUAGUUUUACUAGAAAAAGUCAACAAGCCUAUGUGGGUUUGUGUUCAGUCAAGAAACAGUGAACAAAUUUAGCUCCUCUGGUAAUCAUCCUGAGCUCAUAGGAAGAAUAUCACCUAAGUGGCAAGAGAGAAUUAUAAUGCUAUUACUAAAAUAAUACCCUAUGAAGAGAGGCCAUAGAAUUUUCCACAAAUAGCCUAUUAGAGACUCACAUUUUAUAAUAUAGAAAAAUCAUAUUCUCUUCAUAGAAACAUCAUAGGUUACAAUGUGAGUUUGAAUCAUAUGUUACUUACAGGUUUGCUCUAUAAAUUGACAUGGGACUUAUUCUUAACCUGAAGACUUUCUACAAUUAGACCAGUACCAACAAAACCUGUCAUUUGCGUACAUUGUAAGACUUUCAGGGGAAAAUACUAUAAUAUUGAUCUUUACAUUCCAUAUGGAAUAUCUUUGCACAGGUAAUUAAGGUGAUUUGGAUAACUAUAUAUAGUGUGUUUUAGAAUAAGCUACUAAAGUGAUUCUUAAAGUCUGAUCCCCAGACAACCACCAUCAGCAACAAUUUGGAAAUUUGUUAGUUGUACAAAUUAUCCAUCCCUAGCUGAAACCCCUGACCAAAUAUAUGAAUCAGAAAUUCGAGGUAUAGGCUUAGCAAAGUGGGUCAUGAUAAGCCCUUCAGAUGAUUCUGAUUUGUGUUCCAAUUUAAAACCAUUUAUGCACACCAUGCUCUGUAUGGUCAGAAUAAUCAAUGUCACCAUGGUUUAACUCUGCUUCUUCCCAGGAAGAAGCUUGAAAGCUUAAAUUGUAAGCUCCGCCUUGGUACAAUGAAGCUAGUGUACGGGCAGAAAUGUUCACCAUUCAGACCUACAAUGCCAUUUAAAGGAAAAUUUAUCCUUAGAACUAUUUGUUUCUGAUAUAAGUGGGCUUUGGGCAGGCUUGCCAGUCAGAGAGAUUUCUGAUUAGCCUUUAUCAUUCUUUUUAAAAGCAAGAGCUGAUCUGAUUUACUUGACUGCCCAAGGGCCUAGAAAAUGAUCUUGGAGGUCUUUCUCUUCAUGGAUUAGCUCUGCCCAUUUGCCCUAGUGCUGCAGUGUUGUGUAACUGUCUGGUGACAGUCUUCCAGUUUGAAGAGUGGGUAGACGCUGAGAUAAAUGGCCACUAGUGAUGAGUGAGCUUUGGUUUUUAGAAGGUGUUUCCAAAGGCCCACAUGGCUCAUAAAACUUGAAAACCACAGACAGGGCAGGCACGACCCCAAGUCCCCAGAGACCUCCUUUCUAGGCUUUCUCAUUUGCUCUGGGCCAGGACUGAAGUAGAGAGUCACCAAGGGACUUUGCAUAUAAAAAUGGCUUAGACAAGGAAACUUAGGGUUGUGGAGUGUGUGUGUGUGUGUGUGUGUGUGUGUGUGUUUUCCCUUAAAUUUAAUCUGAAAAAAAAUAUGUUAUGUGCACUUAAAACGCCCAUAUGUAUUUGGUCCUUCCUGUUGAUCUAGAAAAAGUAAUUCAAAGGAUCUAAAAAAGAAAAAGCCUAACAUAUAAGCUCCAUAAUGAUAUUCUGGAGGCAAACACUAGAACUAUCACUUUAGUCCUCCCUCAGGAGCCAGAAUUGUCAGCUAUUUUGAAAUGACUGCUCUUUUCUGGGAUGGGGGGAUGAGAAUUAGUGAUAGACAUCUUUUGUUCUAACUGCUCCUCUAAAAUCUGUGUUCUCCUGUCGGUGAUCAAAGCUUGAGCGUGUGUUUGGGCAUCCAUUUGCUGUGGCUGAGCACAUCAUCUCAUUGGAUCUUUUCCCACUUCUCUGAUCCUACCGUGUCCCACCUCAAGGUAGCUCCACCAACUCCCACACCGCCAGUGUCCACCAUAAUCUACAUCUCCAUUGCACAUCCUAAAUUUUGCUCAAUGUCAAAGCCUUGCUAAGAAGCUACUUCCUAGAAUGAUUACACCUUUCAGGCCAGUUUCAUCCUUGCAGGGGAAGAGACUGGGUCAGAAUGACAGGAAUUCACUCAGAUCCAUCAAAGAGAUCAAGAGCUGUUACCUUCUUCCUGACCUCCGUAGUCACAGGGGUUUCCAAGGCCAAGUCCCAACAAUGGCUUUUCUUCGUCCACAUGCUUUGUGCUAUUGGCUCAGAUACUGAAAUCUUGAAACCUUGAUUUAAAAUUUAUCACAGAAAAAGCAGGGGGGAAAGUGACACACUCUAAAGACCUUUACUUAGGAAGUACAUCAAAUCUUAUUCCACUUAGAAUGGCUAUUACUAAGAACUCAGGAAACAACAAAUGCUGAGAGGAUUCGGGGAAAAAGAACCCUUCUACAUUGUUGGUGAGAAUGUAAACUAGUAUCAGGACCGUGGGAAUCAGUAUGGAGAUUCCUCAAAUAACUAAAAAGAGAAAUUACAUUUGACCUAGCUAUUCUUCUGGGUAUCUUCCCAAAAGAGCUAAAGUGAUCAUAUUACAAUGAACAUACAUAUCCAUGUUUACAUCUGCACAAUUCAUGAUAUCUAAAUUGUGGAAGCAGCCAAUAGGCCCAUCAAGAGAUGAAUGGAUAAAGAAAAUGUGGUAUUUAUACACAGUGGAUAUAUAGCUAUAUAUAUCCACUCAGCUAUAAAGAAGGAUACAUUUGAAUUAUUUGUAGAUAAAUGGAUGGAUCUUGAGACCAUAAUUCUAACUAAAAUAGAUGCAGAAGGUUAAGUAUCACAUGGGUUCACUCAUAAGAGGAACCCAAAGUGUAAAUACAGCAAAAUUAAAGAGAGGUGGUAAGAAAUAGGGAGGUAGCCUCUAUGGAGAUGGGAAGGGAAUAAAGGGAAGCAGAUCAGGGGAAGGAGGAAGAAGGAAGGUUAAGAGGGGAAGGGUGAGUAAAAGUGAUCAAGAUGCAUUAGUAUAUGUACCAGUUCCCAAAGAUAGGUGUAAUUAUUAUGUUUCACAAACAUAUACUAAUAAAUAUAUUAAAGGCCCUGACAUUAGAAGGUAGUGGAUAAUUAUCUUUUAGUACCUCUACAGCUUUGCCUUUCAGUACUAUUCAUAGGUCAGUGGUGCAACUCAACACUAUUCCAAUAAAGCCAUAAUAACAAUCAUUGCUGGGACAACUGUUAUUACAACAGGACUUCCCUGAGUUCCACUGAUCCAUAUUUGUAGACAGUAUCAAGCUCACACCAGAGGACAUGUGGCUUUCUCAACACAGAGAAGGGAAGGGACCAGCAUGCUGUACAUACUGUAUAUAUGCACAAAAGUGCUCUGUGCCACUGACAGAGUUGAGGAGCAGGUGAGAAGGAAGACUUCUCUUGGACUUCUGUCUCGUUCUUGAUGGUUACUGAUGGAAGAUUUUCCCCACUGGAUAAGGUUAAUGGAAAACUGUGGUGGUGAAUUGAACUCAUUCUGAUCCAGAGCAAGGGGCAAUCCAUAAAAAAAAGGGUGGCACGACAUCAUGUCAGAAACCUCACCUCUGUACUAAUGCAUUGAUGACAACAACAACAAAAAGAAACCUCAUCUCCCCAAAUAGUAAUCAAGAAUUCCCUACACUGGGUCAAAAAGGAAAAGACAUCCUGUGCAUACCAUAUAACAUGUUUGAAGGAUACAUCACAAAUAAUCUUCAAAGGAAGGGAGGAGGAGAGUAGAAGGAAGAGAGGCACAACUAAGAGAUCUUACCUUGGAAAAUGCAGCAAGCAACCCUAAUAUUUCUCCAGCUUACCUGGAAUAUUUCUCAUACAUCUGAAGCUAUUUUUUAGAAUAAACACGCAGCACUUUGAAAUUUCUGAGUGAUGGCAUAUCAGUCAGAUAUUUGGAUACUUAAGUGAAUUUUUCAGUUUUGAGUCUUUCAUGCUGAUGAAUGUAAUCGCUUAAGAAUUGCCAUUUUGAGCCCAAAAGACACACAAGUAUAUGCACCAUAUGUUACUCAUUUUGUGGAAAACACAAUGUAUAAUAUUCAGUUUCCAGUGUGGUUUUUUUUAGUGUGCUUCAGUGAUAAAAUUUUAUGUGGAAUAAAGGUAGACAUACCCUCAUUGGUGAUCAUAUUGUUGAAAUUACAAUAUGUAAAAACGCUGUUAGAAAAACCUGUGUAAAAUAUCUUCUCUACUAUCAAUGAAUCAAUACACUUGGAACUUAAUUUUCAGAAAGAAUAUGUGCUACACUUAAAUAUUUUAUAUCUGUGAUGUUUUCUUAUUAUCUUAAAGUAGUUAAUGAGUGACCAGUUACCUGAUAUUAUCAAAAGGGAAAAUGGCCUCACUGAAGGAAUAAUGGAUGAUAUUUAUAAAGUUUCCUGCCAAAGAAAACUGUUUAAUGAUCUGUAAAUGUAGACUAACUUCUUCUAUUAUGAACAUGAUUGUCAGAAAUGCUUUCCUUAUCAUCGUCUAUCUUUUGAAAAUUAGUAUUUUGUAUUUCUAAGGACCAAGGAAAUAUUUUUAAAGCCAAUGUAAUACCCAGAAGCCUUGAAUAGGAGAGGUAUGGUGUCUUGGGUCAACAACAUCAAGCUAUAUUUGAAUUCUAAUAUUUUACGGUAAACUUAUCACUCUUUCCUCCAAUUCUUAUACUGCAUUAUGCAUUUUGGGAAUUUCAGCUGGUCUUUACAGUUAGAGGUACCAACAGUAACAGCAGAUGUUGUCUAACAUGGGAAGCAUUAAAAUGCUCCCCUUAAAGCACUUUGAGUGGAUGGAAAUGGCUAUUUAAUUUUCUCGUCUAACCAUUUCAUAUAACUUAAAGGCCUGAAAUGUUGCACAAGAUGUUAACAGACUGUGUGCAUCAAGGAUAUUUAAUCUGUGCAGUUAGCAAGAACUAGCCAUUUAAAAAUAUAUUCAAAUGUUUUGUAAAUAAAAAUUUUGAUUACUAGAGUUUUGUUCAAACUACUGUCUUUUAAAACAAUUAGAUUUUAUUUGAAUUUUAAAAAGAAUCUGUUACAAGUUAAUGUUGCUUUGUUGACUGUGUGAUUCAACGUACACUCAGCCAUAUUCUUGUGGGAAAAUAUCAAUCCUAUUGACUUUCUUGGCACGAGCCAGAGACUCACAGUUUCUCUAAGGACUGUAAGUAUAAAGACAAAAAAGCACCCAAAGGAAAUGCUAGUGAAGAAAUGAGAAGCGUAUUGUACAAAAUGUAUUUUUAAAAUAUUAAGAUAUAUGUGAUUUACACUGCCUGUUAAUCUAGUCUCUUUGUGAAAUAACCACAGCAUAAUAUUUGUUAAGACUUGGAGACACCAAAUAUUUGUGAUGUCUGUACAGCACCGUUGUUAUAAUAUGUGAUUUCAAAUGAUAAACAUCUUUGUUGUAAUCACGUGAUUCCCAGAAGAAUAAAUUUCUGCUAUUAUGUAAAACCAGCUCUCAGAAUUCAGAUUCCCUGCAGCUGCUAUAUCACCAAUAAAUGAGAAUUAAUUGUGGAAAAACAAUUUUGAACGAAUUUAGUUUAUGAUGACUGUGCAUUUUGUCAAUGAAUGAAUUCAGAGAGUUUUAUUUUUACCAGAUAUGCUCUCAGCCAGUGAAUACAACUGCUGAUUUCAACCAUAAUAUUAUUUCAAAUAUUUCUAUAAUACUGAUCUAAUGACCAAACAAUGGAAGCUUUGUGUGAAGUGCGUCCUAACAAAUGUACAAUAAAUGACUUUUCCUGCAUGCUGCCUGAAAUAUGUUAUAAUCUGAAAUGUCCUAUCAAAAAAUUAUAUAUUUCACAACCCAAAAUUGAACUGACAAUAUAUCUCAUGUGUAUAACUGAUGGUAUGUUAAUAUCAAAAUCAGAAACAUUGUCUGUCAUACAUGUAUGUUAAAUGUGAUAUUUGAUCUUGUCAAAAUGUAACUUGUGAUGUUUUCAUUUCCUAAACAAGUUGAUUCUGUACAAAUCAUUGUCUUAACUGUUUUCCUUAUCAUACCAUAUUUCCUAACACUGAAAUAUAAAUGUUUGUUAAUUAAUUGUUCAUUUUUCGUCAACUUUUAUGUAUCUUUAAUGUGACUCCAUUACCUAACCUGAACAAAGGAAAAUCAAAGCUUUCCCUGUCAUGGGCCCAGGGAUAUUUGUUCAUUCAUCCAUCUAACAAGUAUUUAUUAAGCAUCUACUAUGAAUAAGAUUCUUUACCAAAUAUUGGGAGAAUUCAUAAGAACCAGAGAAAUUGUUAAUCUGUAUCCUCCAGGGAAGUUUUCUGAAAUCUCCCUGAACCAUUUUGUGUUUUCCAUGGAGUUGUUAAGAAAUUAGCUUCCUUCUCCUAUGUUAUAACAAAUUAUCUAUUAAAGAGUCC